RNAcentral lists this ribosomal RNA (1359 nucleotides) under Enterobacter asburiae. Its description in RNAcentral is "bacterial SSU rRNA". It matches the Rfam family "Bacterial small subunit ribosomal RNA", at positions 68 to 1421 of the family's 1533-position model. Lineage: Bacteria; Pseudomonadati; Pseudomonadota; Gammaproteobacteria; Enterobacterales; Enterobacteriaceae. The record is from RNAcentral.
UAGCACAGGGAGCUUGCUCCUGGGUGACGAGCGGCGGACGGGUGAGUAAUGUCUGGGAAACUGCCUGAUGGAGGGGGAUAACUACUGGAAACGGUAGCUAAUACCGCAUAACGUCGCAAGACCAAAGAGGGGGACCUUCGGGCCUCUUGCCAUCAGAUGUGCCCAGAUGGGAUUAGCUAGUAGGUGGGGUAACGGCUCACCUAGGCGACGAUCCCUAGCUGGUCUGAGAGGAUGACCAGCCACACUGGAACUGAGACACGGUCCAGACUCCUACGGGAGGCAGCAGUGGGGAAUAUUGCACAAUGGGCGCAAGCCUGAUGCAGCCAUGCCGCGUGUAUGAAGAAGGCCUUCGGGUUGUAAAGUACUUUCAGCGGGGAGGAAGGCGAUAAGGUUAAUAACCUUGUCGAUUGACGUUACCCGCAGAAGAAGCACCGGCUAACUCCGUGCCAACAACCGCGGUAAUACGGAGGGUGCAAGCGUUAAUCGGAAUUACUGGGCGUAAAGCGCACGCAGGCGGUCUGUCAAGUCGGAUGUGAAAUCCCCGGGCUCAACCUGGGAACUGCAUUCGAAACUGGCAGGCUAGAGUCUUGUAGAGGGGGGUAGAAUUCCAGGUGUAGCGGUGAAAUGCGUAGAGAUCUGGAGGAAUACCGGUGGCGAAGGCGGCCCCCUGGACAAAGACUGACGCUCAGGUGCGAAAGCGUGGGGAGCAAACAGGAUUAGAUACCCUGGUAGUCCACGCCGUAAACGAUGUCGACUUGGAGGUUGUGCCCUUGAGGCGUGGCUUCCGGAGCUAACGCGUUAAGUCGACCGCCUGGGGAGUACGGCCGCAAGGUUAAAACUCAAAUGAAUUGACGGGGGCCCGCACAAGCGGUGGAGCAUGUGGUUUAAUUCGAUGCAACGCGAAGAACCUUACCUACUCUUGACAUCCAGAGAACUUUCCAGAGAUGGAUUGGUGCCUUCGGGAACUCUGAGACAGGUGCUGCAUGGCUGUCGUCAGCUCGUGUUGUGAAAUGUUGGGUUAAGUCCCGCAACGAGCGCAACCCUUAUCCUUUGUUGCCAGCGGUCCGGCCGGGAACUCAAAGGAGACUGCCAGUGAUAAACUGGAGGAAGGUGGGGAUGACGUCAAGUCAUCAUGGCCCUUACGAGUAGGGCUACACACGUGCUACAAUGGCGCAUACAAAGAGAAGCGACCUCGCGAGAGCAAGCGGACCUCAUAAAGUGCGUCGUAGUCCGGAUUGGAGUCUGCAACUCGACUCCAUGAAGUCGGAAUCGCUAGUAAUCGUAGAUCAGAAUGCUACGGUGAAUACGUUCCCGGGCCUUGUACACACCGCCCGUCACACCAUGGGAGUGGGUUGCAAA